GAUGAACGCUGGCGGCGUGCCUAAUACAUGCAAGUCGAGCGAACAGACGAGGAGCUUGCUCCUCUGACGUUAGCGGCGGACGGGUGAGUAACACGUGGAUAACCUACCUAUAAGACUGGGAUAACUUCGGGAAACCGGAGCUAAUACCGGAUAAUAUAUUGAACCGCAUGGUUCAAUAGUGAAAGACGGUUUUGCUGUCACUUAUAGAUGGAUCCGCGCCGCAUUAGCUAGUUGGUAAGGUAACGGCUUACCAAGGCAACGAUGCGUAGCCGACCUGAGAGGGUGAUCGGCCACACUGGAACUGAGACACGGUCCAGACUCCUACGGGAGGCAGCAGUAGGGAAUCUGCCGCAAUGGGCGAAAGCCUGACGGAGCAACGCCGCGUGAGUGAUGAAGGUCUUCGGAUCGUAAAACUCUGUUAUGAGGGAAGAACAAAUGUGUAAGUAACUAUGCACGUCUUGACGGUACCUAAUCAGAAAGCCACGGCUAACUACGUG
This 497-nucleotide ribosomal RNA is filed under the name uncultured bacterium. Its description in RNAcentral is "partial 16S ribosomal RNA". It matches the Rfam family "Bacterial small subunit ribosomal RNA", at positions 28 to 507 of the family's 1533-position model. The record is from RNAcentral.